GACGAACGCUGGCGGCGUGCUUAACACAUGCAAGUCGAACGGAAAGGCCCCUUUGGGGGUACUCGAGUGGCGAACGGGUGCGUAACACGUGAGUAACCUUCCCUUGACUUCGGGAUAACUUCAGGAAACUGGGGCUAAUACCGGAUAGGAAUCCUUGCUGCAUGGUGGGGGUUGGAAAGCUUCGGCGGUUUUGGAUGGACUCGCGGCUUAUCAGCUUGUUGGUGGGGUAGUGGCUUACCAAGGCUUUGACGGGUAGCCGGCCUGAGAGGGCGACCGGCCACAUUGGGACUGAGAUACGGCCCAGACUCCGACGGGAGGCAGCAGUGGGGAAUAUUGCACAAGGGGCGGAAGCCGGAUGCAGCAACGCCGCGGGCGGGAUGACGGCCUUCGGGUUGUAAACCGAUUUCAGCAGGGGCGAAGCUUGUGGUGACGGUACCUGCAGAAGAAGCACCGGCUAACUACGUG
RNAcentral lists this ribosomal RNA (465 nucleotides) under uncultured bacterium. RNAcentral describes it as "partial 16S ribosomal RNA". It matches the Rfam family "Bacterial small subunit ribosomal RNA", at positions 28 to 507 of the family's 1533-position model. The record is from RNAcentral.